UGGUUUGUUCAUACCACCUAACCUGAUCUAACCUUUGAAGCUAAGCAGGUGUGGGCCUGGUUAGUACUUGGAUAGGAGCCCGCUGAGAAUACCAGGUGACACAGUGG
This 107-nucleotide ribosomal RNA is filed under the name Periophthalmus magnuspinnatus. Lineage: Eukaryota; Metazoa; Chordata; Actinopteri; Gobiiformes; Gobiidae. The record is from RNAcentral.